This 253-nucleotide ribosomal RNA is filed under the name uncultured bacterium. RNAcentral describes it as "partial 16S ribosomal RNA". It matches the Rfam family "Bacterial small subunit ribosomal RNA", at positions 524 to 776 of the family's 1533-position model. The record is from RNAcentral.
UACAGGGGGGGCAAGCGUUGUUCGGAAUUACUGGGCGUAAAGGGCUCGUAGGCGGCCAACUAAGUCACACGUGAAAUCCCCAGGCUUAACCUGGGAACUGCGUGUGAUACUGGAUGGCUUGAAUUCGGGAGAGGGAUGCAGAAUUCCAGGUGUAGCGGUGAAAUGCGUAGAGAUCGGGAGGAACACCGGUGGCGAAGGCGGGACUCUGGGCCUACCCUGACGCUGAGGCGCGAAGGCGUGGGGAGCAAACGGG